This 42-nucleotide small RNA is filed under the name Arabidopsis thaliana (thale cress). RNAcentral's name for it is "ATSL199400". Lineage: Eukaryota; Viridiplantae; Streptophyta; Magnoliopsida; Brassicales; Brassicaceae. The record is from RNAcentral.
AAACUUCCUCUUGCUUCUCAAAGCUUUGAUGGUGUACCAAAC